AAUAGAUACCCCGGUAGUCCACGCCCUAAACGAUGUCAACUAGCUGUUGGGGCCUUCGGGCCUUGGUAGCGCAGCUAACGCGUGAAGUUGACCGCCUGGGGAGUACGGUCGCAAGAUUAAAACUCAAAGGAAUUGACGGGGACCCGCACAAGCGGUGGAUGAUGUGGAUUAAUUCGAUGCAACGCGAAAAACCUUACCUACCCUUGACAUGUCUGGAAUGCCGAAGAGAUUUGGCAGUGCUCGCAAGAGAACCGGAACACAGGUGCUGCAUGGCUGUCGUCAGCUCGUGUCGUGAGAUGUUGGGUUAAGUCCCGCAACGAGCGCAACCCUUGUCAUUAGUUGCUACGAAAGGGCACUCUGAUGAGACUGCCGGUGACAAACCGGAGGAAGGUGGGGAUGACGUCAAGUCCUCAUGGCCCUUAUGGGUAGGGCUUCACACGUCAUACAAUGGUCGGGACAGAGGGUCGCCAACCCGCGAGGGGGAGCCAAUCCCAGAAACCCGAUCGUAGUCCGGAUCGCAGUCUGCAACUCGA
This 533-nucleotide ribosomal RNA is filed under the name uncultured bacterium. RNAcentral describes it as "bacterial SSU rRNA". It matches the Rfam family "Bacterial small subunit ribosomal RNA", at positions 777 to 1315 of the family's 1533-position model. The record is from RNAcentral.